CGCCGGAUGAUACGCCAUGCGGCCAAGAGGGGCAUCCCCUUGUGGCGAAAGCGGAGACGCGGUCGGGGACGGGCAUGCGUGCCAUUAGAUGGUCGGCGGGGUGACGGGCCCACCGAGUCUGCGAUGGCUAGGGGAUCUGAGAGGAGGUCCCCCACACUGGUACUGAGACACGGACCAGACUCCUGCGGGAGGCAGCAGUAGGGGAUAUUGGGCAAUGGGCGGAAGCCUGACCCAGCCAUGCCGCGUGAGGGAAGUAGGCCCUACGGGUCGUGAACCUCUUUUAUUCGGGGACAAGGACGCGGUCGGGAAACCGUGUUUGAGGGUACCGAAGGAAUAAGCGUCGGCUAACUC
Molecule: ribosomal RNA, 351 nt
Filed under: uncultured bacterium
Lineage: Bacteria
Description: bacterial SSU rRNA
Rfam family: Bacterial small subunit ribosomal RNA
Source: RNAcentral